GCCUUCGUGGUGUAGUGGUCAGCACGUUCGACAACUAACCGAGUGGUCCGUGGUUCGAUUCCCGGCGAAGGCG
This 73-nucleotide transfer RNA is filed under the name Stegodyphus mimosarum. It matches the Rfam family "tRNA". From Rfam's summary of the family: Transfer RNA (tRNA) molecules are approximately 80 nucleotides in length. Lineage: Eukaryota; Metazoa; Arthropoda; Arachnida; Araneae; Eresidae. The record is from Rfam by way of RNAcentral.